GGCGAACGGGUGAGUAACACGUGGGUGAUCUGCCCUGCACUUUGGGAUAAGCCUGGGAAACUGGGUCUAAUACCGGAUAGGACUACGAAUCGCGUGGUUUGUGGUGGAAAGCUUUUGCGGUGUGGGAUGGGCCCGCGGCCUAUCAGCUUGUUGGUGGGGUGAUGGCCUACCAAGGCGACGACGGGUAGCCGGCCUGAGAGGGUGUCCGGCCACACUGGGACUGAGAUACGGCCCAGACUCCUACGGGAGGCAGCAGUGGGGAAUAUUGCACAAUGGGCGCAAGCCUGAUGCAGCGACGCCGCGUGAGGGAUGACGGCCUUCGGGUUGUAAACCUCUUUCACUAGGGACGAAGCGCAAGUGACGGUACCUAGAGAAGAAGCACCGGCCAACUACGUGCC
This 398-nucleotide ribosomal RNA is filed under the name uncultured Mycobacterium sp. RNAcentral's name for it is "bacterial SSU rRNA". It matches the Rfam family "Bacterial small subunit ribosomal RNA", at positions 97 to 509 of the family's 1533-position model. Lineage: Bacteria; Bacillati; Actinomycetota; Actinomycetes; Mycobacteriales; Mycobacteriaceae. The record is from RNAcentral.